CCUACGGGAGUCCGCAGUGAGGAAUAUUGGUCAAUGGACGAGAGUCUGAACCAGCCAAGUAGCGUGAAGGAUGACUGCCCUAUGGGUUGUCAACUUCUUUUAUAUGGGAAUAAAAUGUUCCACGUGUGGGACUUUGUAUGUACCAUAUGAAUAAGGAUCGGCUAACUCCGUGCCAGCAGCCGCGUUAAUACGGAGGCUCCGAGCGUUAUCCGGAUUUAUUGGGUUUAACGGGAGCGUAGGUGGAUUGUUAAGUCAGUUGUGAAAGUUUGCGGCACAACCGUAAAAUUGCAGUUGAAACUGGCAGUCUUGAGUACAGUAGAGGUGGGCGGAAUUCGUGGUGUAGCGGUGAAAUGCUUAGAUAUCACGAAGAACUCCGAGUGCGAAGGCAGUUCACUGGACUGCAACUGACACUGAGGCUCGAAAGUGUGGGUAUCAAACAGGAUUAGAGACCCCUGUAGUC
Molecule: ribosomal RNA, 460 nt
Filed under: uncultured bacterium
Lineage: Bacteria
Description: partial 16S ribosomal RNA
Rfam family: Bacterial small subunit ribosomal RNA
Source: RNAcentral